Macaca mulatta (Rhesus monkey) is the source of this 628-nucleotide non-coding RNA. The record is from RefSeq and is a predicted model, not a curated record. Lineage: Eukaryota; Metazoa; Chordata; Mammalia; Primates; Cercopithecidae.
AACCCCAGGCUGAGCCACUGGCUGAGUGGCACCAUGCAGCUUCAGGCCUCUCUCUCGUUUCUCCUGAUUCUCACUCUCUGCCUAGAGCUUCGAUCAGAACUAUCACAAGACACUAUCACGGAUCUCCUCCCAAAUGUAUGCUCUUUUCCUAUGGAAAAGGGCCCUUGUCAAGCCUACAUGAUUCGAUGGUUUUUCAACUCUGAAACUGGUGAAUGUGAAUUAUUUGCUUACGGAGGCUGCAGAGGCAACAGCAACAACUUUUCGAGGAAAGAAGAAUGUGAGAAAAUGUGCAAGUUCACCUGAUUUUCUAACAAGAACACAGCCUUCCAUGGAUUUGGGAUUGAUCUGAGGGCCAUAGAAGGUUGGAGAGCAGCAGUCACACAACCUACUGAGGACUUCCACAAAAGAGAGAUUGCCUCAUUCCUAGCCCCUGGGCUCCAUUCCACCCACCCCCACUCCCUCUUCCCUUCUCAACAUUUCACAAGAGGGAGCAUUCUCGAUGGCUAUCACCAAUCAGAUAUUUUGUCUUACCAAAAUGUUCUAGAAAUUCCUGAAUUGCUCAACACCUAAAUCACUGGCUUUAAGCUCUGUCUCCUACUCAUGAAACACCAGAACUAUCUGGCCUUGA